RNAcentral lists this ribosomal RNA (356 nucleotides) under uncultured bacterium. RNAcentral's name for it is "bacterial SSU rRNA". It matches the Rfam family "Bacterial small subunit ribosomal RNA", at positions 28 to 373 of the family's 1533-position model. The record is from RNAcentral.
GAUGAACGCUGGCGGCGUGCCUAAGGCAUGCAAGUCGUGGGACAGGUUUUUUGUAGCAAUACCGAGAAACACUGACCGGCAAACGGGAGAGUAACACAUUGAUAACUUACCUUUAAGACGAGGAUAGCCCACCGAAAGGUGGAUUAAUACUCGAUAGACAUGGGGGGGCGUGAGGCCAUUCCCAUGUAAAACUUCGGUGCUUAGAGAGAGGUCUAUGUCUGAUUAGUUAGUUGGUGGGGUAAUGGCCUACAAGACGAUGAUCAGUACCGGGCGUGAGAGCGUGACCCGGCUCACUGGGACUGAGAUACUGCCCAGACACCUACGGGUGGCUGCAGUCAGGAAUAUUCCGGCUAAUG